This is a ribosomal RNA of Cercocebus atys (sooty mangabey), 119 nucleotides long. NCBI's taxonomy places the organism in Eukaryota, Metazoa, Chordata, Mammalia, Primates, Cercopithecidae. The record is from Ensembl.
AUCUAUAGCUAGACCACCCUGAACAUGCCUGAUCCCAGUUGAUCUUGGAAACUAAGCAGGGUUGGGCCUAGUUAGAACUUGGAUGGGAGACCACCUGGGAAUGCUGGGUGCUGUAAGCU